Molecule: long non-coding RNA, 9585 nt
Filed under: Homo sapiens (human)
Lineage: Eukaryota; Metazoa; Chordata; Mammalia; Primates; Hominidae
Description: HSALNT0385143
Rfam family: Metazoan signal recognition particle RNA (bases 5126-5271)
Source: RNAcentral
CCCCUCUGCAGACUCGGAAGACAUGGCAGCUCAGGAGCCCUGAUGGCCGUUUCCUGGAGCCAAGAGUGUGCAGCCCUUGAAGCCCGCCAUUUCCCAGGGCUCCAGGGUCCCCACCACUCCCUACUGCUUCAUAUCCACCUUGCUUCCCUCUUCUGCCUUGGCCUGGCCCCUGUAGGCAUUGAGUCUGCAGUCCUUGUUUAGGGGCUGAGCAGCAGCAGCAAGUCCCAUCUGCCAAUAAGCAACCUCUGCAGGCCUGACACUGGCUGAGUUGUCCCUUUUAUCUCAAAGGGGCAUCACCCUGCAUUUGAGAACAUCUCAACAGACUCCCCGUCACCAGGAACGUGCCUGCUACUUGACAGAGCCAGGGAGGGAGGAUUGGCUGAUCUGGGGUUUUAUUGGCCCCCAGGAGAUGGAAGGCCCAGGCUCCAGCUGCGGUGGAGGACAAAGGGGACUUGUUUUGGUGACAAUGGUGCCUUUCAGGAGGGAGGAGGUGGCUUUUGUUAAGGGGGAACGAUGAGUUCAAGGGGUUCUGACUUAUUCUGGCAAGUUUCUCCAGCUCUACAAGAACUUCUAGUGCUCUGGGCAGCUGCGAGGGGUCAAGAAACCACAUCCCCAAAUCCAGCGGGAUCUCAGAGAGAAAGGCUGAUGGGAAGCUGCCCAGGGCUGACCUGGCACAUGCUGGGAAAACCCCUCGGUGCCAGGGCAGGAGGCAGAGCGUCUGCAGCUCCUCCCUCCCCAACACAGGGGGUAAGGAAUACAGCAGAACGGGAAUCGGGCGCCUUCAUGCUGCUGUUACCGCCCUUGGUUCAUGGCUUCUUUCACUUGGAAACCCCAGGAGGUUCAUCAUGGUUCAGAAAAGUUUGUCUUCUCUUGGCACACCCAGCUUUGACGGUGCACAUGAAUAGGAUACAGAGGUGCAGGCAGAGGCCAGGCCAGCCCGAGUCAAAGCUUAGGAACAGAGGAUGAAGACUGUUGCAAAGGAGUGGCGGGGAAUGGUGGAGUGGAGGACCCUGGACAGCCAGCUGCCUGGAAAAAUCAUCUCUAUCCCUGGAACACAUGUGGUUCCCAAAAGCCAAUGACAAACAGCAGCACUCGAUGCUGGAAGACAACGGAGGAGCAUCUGUCUAACUCGAGAAUAAAGUAUCCAGCCAAGAGGUCCAGACUGGAAAGUAACACACCAUCCAUCUCAAACAGCCAGAAACCCAGGGAAUACAGACGGCAUUCAUGAGCUCUUCUCAGAAAAUAUCACCCAGGUGACAAAAUCCAGACCAAUGAAAGAGGAAAUCAAAAUAAAGAUAGAGGCAUGGACAAGCUGUGAUCAAAGGUCUAAUGGUAAGCGCUGUAGCCACUUAAAGUUUGAAUAAAUACUAGGCAUUUAUGCACAUUAGGGAGAUGGACCAGAAUGCAAUGCUAUAAACCUAAGCCCUUAGCUUAGCUAACAAAAAUCAGGAGAGGGCAGGCAAUGUGGGUGGCCUAAUUUUCCACACCAGAAAGUCAACCCCAAAUGCAUCUCAAAUGGAAACUAGAGUUUUUUAAAAAUGGCAACUCUAACCUCUUAUUUCCUAAUGUAUUAAACCGAUGGCUAUUUUAAGAAAUAAUAUUUCCUGUGAUAAAGAAAUUUGAAUUUCAAUAAUUCCUCCUGUUUCAAUUUGGUUUCUUUUUCUUCUUUUAAAUUAAUGGAAAUUUAAAUGCCAUGAUUGUAUUUGCAAAAUAUAUAUAGGCCAGGCGCAGUGGCUCAUGCCUGUAAUCUCGGCACUUUGGGAAGCGGAGGUGGGAAGAUUGCUUGAGCCCAGGAAUUCGAGACCAGCCUGGGCAACAAAGUGAGACCCCCAACUCUAUUUUUAAAAACUUAAAAAAUGAAACAAAAAAAAAAUUCCCUCUCCCCAAAGAAAAUAUAUAUAAAAGAGCAGCCUAGAUUCGGUGUGGCUGGCAGCUUCUUCGCAAAGGAAACAAAUGCAUUUGCUCACACUGGAUGAACCUAGACCCUUAUAAUGCUCACGUGAUCUAAACCAUCUGUCCUAGGGGCAGAGGGGAGACAAACUAAGGAGCAACAUUCCCUGGAGGAAGCCGUUCAAAACCUUUCCAUCUGGAAAGAUGAGGACCUUGGGCUGGUCGCUUUGAAAGCCAAUCUGCCUGUACUUCAAAGAGAUACCAUGCUGUGGGAUCUACCAGGUGCUGUGAAGCCAUCAUCCAGAAAUUUCUCUGAAAAAACAUACUUUAUAGCUUUGCUUCAAAAUCUUGUUAUAUUUGAUUUCAGUGUUCAGUGUUUAAAAUGUUAAGUUCAAGCCCUUUCAACAGAAAGCCCUCUGCAUGGAGGCCAGGCUGCCAACACCGCAGGUGGAGAUCGGAUGACAGGGACUGCACACAAAUGGGUCUCCUCACUGGGGAUCCAGGGAGAAGGUGGAGGGACGGACGCUGAUACAAAGACUUAAAGGUAGUUUCUAGAAGAACCACUGACUGAAAUGCAGCAGGGGUUUGAUGGUCAGUGAAUUAAUGCCUUCUAUGCCUGAGCUUCCUCUUUCUGCUGAACUAGGAAAAGUGACAUCAGGCGACCAUCAAACAUGAAGUUUUUGCAAUAAUAGUAUCAGUAACUGUAACAUCAAAAACAAUAGCUACUACUUGCUAAGCUUCUGUUACAUUAUCAGGCACUAAGCUGACUUAUCUAUGUACCUUAUCUCAUUUCUUUUUCUUUUUCUUUUUUGAGGAAGGGUCUUGCUCUGUCACCCAGGCUGCAGUGCAGUAACACCACCUUGGCUCACUGCAACCUCCACCUCCUGGGUUCAAGUGAUCCUCCCACCUUAGCCUCCAGAACAGCUGGGAUUACAGGUGCAUAUCACCACAACUGGCUAAUUUUUAGUUUUUUUGUAGAGAUGAGAUCUUACUCUGUUGCCCAAGCUGAUCUCAAACUCUUGGGCUCAAGCAAUCCUCCUGCCUCAGACUCCCAAAGUGCUGGGAUUGUAGGCAUGAACCACCACACCCAGCCACCUCAUUUCAUUUCAACCUCCUAACACGCCAGUGCAGUAGGUCUCCUCAUCUUACAGGCCUGGAGGACUUAAGUACAAGUUCAAGGUCACAUGGCCAGUAAUGGCAGACCCAGGGUAUGGAGGAAUGACCAUCUGACUCUGUAUUAGUCCGUUUUCACGCUGCUGAUAAAGACGCACCCACGACUGGGAAGAAAAAGAGGUUUACUUGACUUACAGUUCCACAUGGCUGGGGAGGCCUCACAAUCAUGGCAGAAGACAAUGAGGAGCAAGUCACCUCUUACAUGGAUGGCAGUAGGCAAAGAGAGAGAACUUGGGCAGGGAAACUCCCAUUUUAAAAACCAUCAGAUCUCCUGAGACUCAUUCACUAUCACAAGAACAGCACAGAAAAGACUCACCCCAUAAUUCAAUCACCUCCCACCUGGAUCCACCCACCACAUGUGGGAAUUGUGGGAGUUACAAUUCAAGAUGAGAUUUGGGUGGGGACACAGCCAAACCAUAUCAGACUCUAAAGUCCAGACUCUUAACCAUGUGAUCAUGUUUAUUCCCUGCCUGGUACCAACUUGGAAGCAACUGGUCUCCAGAGAGGGAUGAAAGUCAGGGGCACAGUGACUGUCCACUGACUUGCACAAAAUUGAUAAACCUGCCCGUAAGAGGUUUAGACACAAAGCUGCCUUGAGGCCACUAAACAUGUUCAUGUAUGUGUUAAGUUUGAGUGGAUGAAGCAUUAAACUCCUAACUCUACUUACAAAGGAGAAUGAGCUGGGUCUAAGUUCUGGGCCUCACUCAGUUUACCCUGUGUCCCCAGGUGAGUUGCUGAGCUUCAAGCCCUCACCUUUGCUAUGGGAAAAUGUGCCCUGAUUAGCUCACAAAAAAAAGGCUGCUGAGGGGUCAAAACGAAAUUAACAGCUAAGAAUCAGUGUUUUGUGAUUGCUUUAAUAGGGUUCUAGUUUUUACAGAAAAUUUAAAAUUUUGAUGAUGGCAUCUUUUAUUUCUCAGAUGCUACUGAAUCUGCCUAUUAGAAGCUUGGAUGCUUAGACCAUGAAGCCACAGUGGAAACUUUAAGACAGUCCUCAAGAGCUAGCAGCAGUCUUGGGGGUAGAGAUCACUGACAUGCAGGCAGAAAGGCCAGACCUCCCCAACCAACCCCCUGCCCCUGGAACCCCAAUAAUGUCUCUCAUUUGGUUGGCAGUUUUGUAAAACUGGGAGUUGAAUGUCUUGAGUCUGGCAUAUAUUGCUAGUUGUGAUAAUUCCCACUAACUUCUCUUGUACUAUAUGAGGCAUUUUACACAUUCAUAUUAUUAAUCUGCCUGGACCAUGAAGGCUUUUUACCCAGCACUGAAGAGUUAGUUGAUUAAUUUGUUCUUUUUUCUCAUUCAUCCAUGUAUUCAACACAUUUUUUUUUUUUUUUGAAACAGGGUCUCACUCUAUCACCCAAGCUGGAGUGCAGUGGCACGAUCAUGGCUCACUGCAACCUCGACCUCCUGGGUUCAAGAGAUUCUCCGACUUUUUGGUUAGCUGGGACUACAGGUGUACACCAUCAUGCUCAGCUAAUUUUUGUAUGUUUUGUAGAGAUGGGGUCUUGCCAUGUUGCCCAGGCUGGUCUCGAACUGCUGGGCUCAAGCGAUCCUCCUGCCUCGGCCUCCAAAAGUACUGGGAUUAUAGGCAUAAACCACCACACAUGGCAACAAAUAUUUUUUAUUGAAUAUACGUGUCCCCCAUAAGCAGGUGUGACUGCUAGGUGCUAGGGAUGGAGUGAUGAACAAGACAGACUUACGGAAUCUACAAUCUGGCAACAUCUCUUAUGUAAUCCAUAACAGAUUACCAGAGUAAUGAGCGCCAAAAACCCAAACUUAGGGCUUGCCAGUCCACGUCCAUAAUAAAGUGGCUUGUGCCCUAACUUUAGGGUCAACUCAAGUGAUCCUCCUACCUCGGCAUCCCAAAGUACUGGGAUUACAGGCGUGAACCACCAUGCCUGUCCUAACUCUGCAUAUUUUAAAAAUCGCAUUCCCGACCGGCUGGGCAUGGUGGCUCACACCUGUAAUCCCAACACUUUGGCAGGCCGAAGUCACUUGAGGUCAGGAGUUCGAGACCAGCCUGGUCAACAUGGUGAAACCCCAUCUCUACUAAAAAUACAAAAAUUAGCCGGGUGUGGUGGUGGACACCUGUAAUCCCAGUUACUCAGGAGGCUGAGGCAGGAGAAUCGCUUGAACCCGGGAGGCAGAAGUUGUAGUGAGUCAAGACUGCACCACUAUACUUCAGCCUGGGUGACAGAGUGAGACUCUGUCAAAAACAAAACAAAACAAAACAAAACAAAACAAAACAAAACAAAAACUCAUUCCCCUACAUCAAUUUUGAUAGAACUAAGGCUAGGAAAAUUUGAAUUAUACAUGUGUUUUAAAUACCUGAGCAAUAUCUUUAGUUUUCUGACACCUUCUUACUGCCAUGAAUUUUAAUUCAAAGCUAAGUGUAUUUAUAAAGUACCCUGGAGUUCAGCCUCUAAAGUGCAUCACUGGAGAAAAACCAAAACAAUCUUUGUCUAGGGAAGAGAGUGAUAGAAGACAAAAUGAACUCAGGAAGUAGAUGGGCCUGGGAGACUGCCCAAUGCUUUCCUGGUUUGUGGGCCCCUGGCCAAACCCCUCAGCAUCACCCUGGCUGAGCAAUCCAUAAGGAGAUUGGAUAGGGAUAGCAGGAUAAAGACCAAAUAUCAAGGAAUGCCACUGGCUGACUAGAAAAUUUCAGGAAUUCCUGAAAGAUAGAGGGGAGAGAUCACAUCCAUAAAGAACUAAAGGAAAAGGAAACUGCAGAUUAAAACAUACAUGGUGGGUUGGGCACAGUGGCUCAUACCUGUAAUCCCAGCACUUUGCCAGGCCGAGGUGGGUGGAUCACCUGAGGCCAGCAGUUCAAGACCAGCCCGGCCAACAUGGUGAAACCCCAUCUCUACUAAAAAUACAAAAAUUAGCCGGGCGUGGUGGCACACGCCUGUAGUCCCAGCUACUUGGGAGGCCGAGACAGAAGAAUUGCUUGAACCUGGGAGGUGGAGGUUGCAGGGAGCCAAGAUCGUACCAGUGCACUCCAGCCUGGGGGAAAGAGUGUCCUGUCUCAAAAAAAAAAAAAAAUAAUAAAAACACAGACAUGGUAUAUUAGUCUGUUCUCACCCUGCUAUGAAGAAAUACCUGAGACCAGGUAAUUUAUAAAGAAAAGAGGUUUAGUUGACUCAAAGUUCUCCACAGCUGGGGAGGCUGCAGACAACUUCCAAUCAUGGCAGAAAGCACCUCUUCACAGGGUGGCAGGAGAGAGAAAUUAGUAAAGGGGGAAGCAUGCUGGGCACAGUGGCUCAUGCCUAUAAUCCCAGCACUUUGGGAGGCUGAGGUGGGUGGAUCGUUUGAGGUCAGGAGUUCGAGACUAGCACGGCCAACAUGGUGAAACCCCAUCUCUACUAAAAAUACAAAAAAUUAGCCAGGCGUGGUGGUGGAUGCCUAUAAUCCCAGCUACUCAGGAGGCUGAGGCAGGAGAAUUGCUUGAACCCAGGAGGUGCGCUGCUGCAUACCAACCUGGGUGACAGAGUGAGACCCUGUCUCAAGAAAAAAAAAAAAAAACAACCUCCGGAGAACAGAGCAGAAACAAUGAAAGAGAAUGAUAAUAACAGUAGUAAUAAUAAAUGAAAAAUUUCCAGUGCUAAAGAAAGACACAAGCGUGCAGAUGCCCCUGGCUUCAGCCUACGGGUGAGCCUCUCUGCUGCCCCUUACUUAAUAUAGCCGGGGACAGGCUGCAGCCCUAAAAGCGGCCCCCCACUCUAGCCUCAGGGCUCCCUGUCACACAUCUUGAUGCUGAACUCACCUACACAUGCACAUGCACACACUGCUCCUUCUAUGGAAGUUUUUACGGCCCUGAAAUUUUUGCUGAAAAGGCCCACUUAGUGUUUUCAAUGGGACAAAGAUUUUGAGACAGAUAUAUUCAUAUGGAUGAAAGGUACACUCUCUCAAAAAACAUUUUGACUCUAUAUGCAAAGAAUGACAGAUAUUUGAAAUAUAUAAGGCAAAAACAAAUGCAGGGGAAAACUGACAAGUUCACAGAUAUCAACCAGAUCAAAGAGACAAAAAGUAAGUCAAGCCCUACAGCGGUGGUUUGCUAAUGAGUAUGAGAGUUUCCAGGGAAGCUUAUUAAAAAUGCAGGCUCUGAGCACUCCAUGCCUCCUCCAAAUCCAGUUCUAUACCUAUGGGUGUGGUGUGAGAAUUCACAGCUUUAAUAAGCAGCCCAGGUGAUGCUAAUAUAGGUAGUCUGAGACCACACUUUAAGAAUCACCCAGUUAAGUAUUACAACUAAUCGUGUGUGAUUUAACAGAUAUAUUGAGAACUUUGUACCAAAAAGAGAAUGAUUAUUCUUUUGAAAUAUCAUAGAACAUUCAUAAAAAUCAUCUGGUAGGCCACAAACAAAAAACCUCAGUAACUUUCAAAACCCAGAAAUUAAACCAUCUUUAAUUUUAGGCCAUUUUAAAUCAUAAUGUGGCCAAAUUAGAAACUAAUACAAAACGAUAGCAAAAAUACAAAACUAGAUAAACAAAAAACUGUUUACUUAGAACGUUUGGGAAAACUCUCCUACAUAAAGAAGAGAGGCUGGGCAUGGUGGCUCAUGCCUGUAAUUACAGCACUUUGGGAGGGCGAGGUGGGAGGACUGCUCAAGGCCAGGAGUUCAAGACCAGUCUGGGCAACAUAGCAAGUCCCUGUCUCUAAGAAAAAAUUAAAAGAUUAGCCAGGCAUGGUGGCGCAUGCCUGUAGUCCCAGCGGCUUGCGAGGUUGAGGCAGGAGCAUCACUUGACCCCAGAAGAUUGAGGCUGCAGUGACCCAUGAUCAUGCUCUGCAUUCCAGUCUGGGUGACAGAACAGGACCCUGUCUUAAAUGAAAAAAUAAACAUAUAGGAGGGGAAAAAAAAAACACCCUAAACUAAUAAGCCAAUUAGAAAUAAAUGGCCAGGUACAGUGGCUCACGCCUGUAAUCCCAACACUUUAGGAGGCCAAGGCAGGCGGAUCACCUGAGGUCAGGAAUUCGAGAGCAGCCUGGCCAACAUGGUGAAUCUCUGUCUCUACAAAAAAUACAAAAAAAAAAAAAAAUUAGCCGGGUGUGGUGACACAUGCCUGUAGUCCCAGCUACUUGGCGGGGUGAGACAGGCGAAUCACUUGAGCCUGGGAGACGGAGGUUGCAGUGAGCCGAGCAAGACUCUGUUGCACUGCACUCCAGCCUGGGCGACAGAGCAAUACUCUGUCUCAAAAUAAAUAAAUAAAUAAAUAAACAAAUAAAUAAAUAAAUAAAUGACAAUGAAAGUAUUACAUAGUACUAUAUGGUAAAAUUUGCAGAGUAAAUACAAAGCAAUAUUCAGAGGAAAAUGUAUAGCCUAAUUGAUAUAUUAGAAAAUAGUAUGAAAAUUAAAUGGGCCAGGUGUGGUGGGUCACACCUGUAAUCCUAGCACUUUGGGAGGCCAAGCGGGAGGAUUACUUGAACCUAGGAGUUUGAGACCAGCCUGGGCAACAUGGUGAGACAUCUUCUCUACCUAAAAAAAAAAAAAAAAAAAAAAAAGAAGAAGAAAAGAAAAAGAAAAAAUAAAUUAAACAUUUAACUUAAGUCAGGUUACAGUGGUGGAGGUCAGGGAGAACCAAUGUGAUACCAAAAAGUUUAAGAGAGGAAUUAAGAUGAAAGCAGAAAUAAGCUGAAAAAAAAAUAAAUAAAUGAGUAAAUGAAUGAAUGGAUGACUAAAUAAAUAACGUAUACUUGCUCAAUAAAAGUAAAAGCUGGAGAUGGUUUGGCUGGGUAGAUAUAGACAGCUUUUCAUAUUAUACUCAACUUACUUCUAAACUGUUUGAAUCUUUUUAAAUGAGAAGGCACCCAUGUAUUAGGUGUUAGAUAAAAUGAUACAAAAUAAUGUAAAAAUUGUUUCACAUCAUACCUAAGAAAUUCUAGGUCGGCUAUAAAUGCAAGAUAUUAAAGUUAUUCUAAUAUUGAUUCAGAAGUUAAUCUUUAUUUUCAUUAAGAUUGAAAAAUAUGCUUUAUUAAGUUCAAUUCAUCUGGCACCUUCAUUUGUAGAAACACCCUACUGAGGGAUGGGAUCACUACAUCUCUUACUUCUGGACCUGUAAUUCAUGGGCAUUUAGUGCUUGUUCAGCAUCAUUUCACAUCAUUCAUGCUCAUCACCAAAUUAUUCCUGCUCAGCUUGCCCUGUGCUGUCUGACCCACCUGCCCAGGGCCCUUUCUAAUGCCACAAGCCAGCCGUCUUUUGGUCUGAGCUGUCCAGUUGGUCAUCCCUGGGGGCCUUUGAUGUUUCUGGGUAACAGACGGGCUAGGUCAAGAGCCACUGUCAAGGAGAAAGAGCUCUUCCUCCUGUCUCAUCAGGAACUGACAAAGCUUUCAUUAUCUAAACCAGAAGUUGCAAGUUGGUAGUCUAAAGGCCACAUCUGGCCAGCAGGUAUAUUUUGUUUGGUCCACAGGAAAUUGUGAAUUAGGCUGGGCAUGGUGGCUCAUGCCUGUAAUCCCAAUGCUUUGGGAGGCCUACGCAGGCGGACUGCUUGAGCUCAGGAGUUCAAGACCAGCCAGGGCAACACAGUGAAACCCCA